RNAcentral lists this ribosomal RNA (464 nucleotides) under Klebsiella aerogenes. RNAcentral's name for it is "bacterial SSU rRNA". It matches the Rfam family "Bacterial small subunit ribosomal RNA", at positions 70 to 530 of the family's 1533-position model. The record is from RNAcentral. Lineage: Bacteria; Pseudomonadati; Pseudomonadota; Gammaproteobacteria; Enterobacterales; Enterobacteriaceae.
CACAGAGAGCUUGCUCUCGGGUGACGAGUGGCGGACGGGUGAGUAAUGUCUGGGAAACUGCCUGAUGGAGGGGGAUAACUACUGGAAACGGUAGCUAAUACCGCAUAACGUCGCAAGACCAAAGAGGGGGACCUUCGGGCCUCUUGCCAUCAGAUGUGCCCAGAUGGGAUUAGCUAGUAGGUGGGGUAACGGCUCACCUAGGCGACGAUCCCUAGCUGGUCUGAGAGGAUGACCAGCCACACUGGAACUGAGACACGGUCCAGACUCCUACGGGAGGCAGCAGUGGGGAAUAUUGCACAAUGGGCGCAAGCCUGAUGCAGCCAUGCCGCGUGUAUGAAGAAGGCCUUCGGGUUGUAAAGUACUUUCAGCGGGGAGGAAGGCGAUAAGGUUAAUAACCUUGUCGAUUGACGUACCCGCAGAAGAAGCACCGGCUAACUCCGUGCCAGCAGCCGCGUAAUACGAGG